This is a non-coding RNA of Trichonephila clavipes, 73 nucleotides long. NCBI's taxonomy places the organism in Eukaryota, Metazoa, Arthropoda, Arachnida, Araneae, Nephilidae. The record is from the annotation of a GenBank genome assembly.
UGUGGUAGCCGAGUGGUCAAGGUACUGGAUCCUUGGAUGGUCUUGUCUCGAGUUCAAGCCCAGUACCACUAAA